GGGAGAGGCCUAGAUCGGAAGCUGUGAGUUUUUUGUGGUUGCAUGUUCCCUUUGGUGGUUGGGUUACCGUCUGUUAUGACUGGGUGAGGUGUCGGUUUGGUAGGUCGGAGAGAUGUUUGGUGUCGAUGGUGGAUAAUGGGAGGGAUACUGUUGUCUUCCCCUGUGUUUGUAGAGGACGAUCUGCAAACAAGCUCUUGGGGUACUGGGUGAGCACGAAAGAACCUUAUUUUCUGGUAGGUAUAUAAUGUGGCGUUGUCGUUCAGGGUUCUAUGUCUAUGCCAUAUUUGAAGCCUUAAAGGGUAGCCGGAAGUGAAGAUGGAUCAAAUUAGAGUGGUUUACAAGCUUCGACAUAGCAACCAAGUAGAUUUCAGUAUAUGGCUCUAUCAAGACACUUGAGACAUUCAUGUUGAAGUCAGAGACCCUAAAAAUGGUCUGUUACUGGAGCUGUUGAUUGACAAGACCAACCAAUCAAGCCUUUAAAGGACAGUUCAGGAGUUCAGUGGUGGAGUCUUUGAUCUGAUAUCUGACUUCUGCAAAUUCAUAUUUGGGUGGUAAUGAUUUUGAUAAGAUGCAUGUUCAUUGGCUUGCUGCAAUAAUGAAGGGAGUGACCUACUAUUGCAGUUUAGAGGACAAGUGUUAUAUGGUACUCCUUUGGCGAUCUGCAUUACGUACCUUACAGGAAAGUGAAAAGGAUUGACAUUCUAAAAGAAAAAAAGAAAAAGUGGAAAGGAUUGAGAAGAUGAAUUGCUGAUAUAUAUGUGUCAUAGAGGAGCUAAUAGCAUCAAAAUAUUAGGAGGUACUUCCAAACAGGUGUCAGAUCUGGAUUACAACAAAAUAUAAGUUGCCCAAAUUUCUCACCUGCAAUAAGAAAUUUCAAGGAUCGGAGUCCAUGUAACUAUGUAGGGGUUUCUCAUCUCCAAUCCCAAAAGUGGAUUGUCUAAGGUCUAAAAGUAGAUGGAAACUGUGUUCUUUAGAUGCCAAGCUCAAAGCUAGGGUGGGGGUUUAACCGUUUAACAGAGAAAUCAGAGAGAUCUCUAAUCCUCAAGUAUGAGAGAGCUUCAGAAUUUAGAGCAGCAACUUGAUUCUGCUAUGAAGCACAUAAGGAAAUGCUUUAAAUAGUCUCACAAGCUGGAAUAUAGACUUUUGAACCUGAAGCCUGAAUAAAGAACUUAUAAGAUAAUUGGAGAAACAAAGUUUUCCUCAUCUAAGGGAGACUUCGAUGUUGGGAUAUGUUUUCCUACCAGGAGUUUUAUCAUCUCCAUAUUUAAUUUAUCAAACAAAUUAGCUGGUAUUGUUAUGUUAGGCUAUCAGAAAGCAGAUGUCCAGAAGACGAAUAUGCCUGAGCCUAACCUGAUAUAUUCAUAAACAAGAUUUGAGGUGAGCUUUUAUAAUUUAUACUUUUAUAAACAAUGCACCAACCCUUUUUGAGCAAUUUCCUAAAGAGAACACAAGGUGCCCAUUUGGGGUGAAAUUAUAUGUAUAUCCAUCAUAUACCAUUAGUAACACCAAAGUGAUAGGAAAAAGGGUUAUUUCUGUUUUAGUGGUACACUGAUGAAAAUUAUUUCAUCAUUUGGUGGCAUCCAAAUAAAGAGAAGAAUUGAGAGUGGAGUAAUAUAAGUUGUACUUGGGAUGGUGAUAAGAGGACAUUAUAAUUUAUGGAUUCAAGAUCAUAUUGACCAACCGCUUUUCAGACCAAAUACUUGUGCCUUCAAAAAUUGCCGCUUAAACCUUCCUUUCUUUUUCUUCGUUGAAUGUCUUAUGUAGUAAUCUCAUGUUUGGAUUGUUUUUUAUGCUUUGAGUUAUUGAGACUUAUGCGUUGGUGGUUGUGGUAGUCUUAAUUUGAUUGUUGAAAUUCAUAUUCGAUGCAUUGUAUGUAACAACGUAUCGGCUUUUU
Argentina anserina (silverweed cinquefoil) is the source of this 1894-nucleotide long non-coding RNA. RefSeq lists it as uncharacterized. The transcript has 12 exons. The record is from RefSeq and is a predicted model, not a curated record. Lineage: Eukaryota; Viridiplantae; Streptophyta; Magnoliopsida; Rosales; Rosaceae.